AGGACGAACGCUGGCGGCGUGCUUAACACAUGCAAGUCGAGCGGUAAGGCCCUUUCGGGGGUACACGAGCGGCGAACGGGUGAGUAACACGUGGGUGACCUGCCCCCUACACUGGGAUAAGCCUGGGAAACUGGGUCUAAUACCGGAUAUGACUCAAGGCUGCAUGGUUUUGGGUGGAAAGCUUUUGUGGUGGGGGAUGGGCCCGCGGCCUAUCAGCUUGUUGGUGGGGUGAUGGCCUACCAAGGCUUCGACGGGUA
This 257-nucleotide ribosomal RNA is filed under the name uncultured bacterium. Its description in RNAcentral is "partial small subunit ribosomal RNA". It matches the Rfam family "Bacterial small subunit ribosomal RNA", at positions 26 to 285 of the family's 1533-position model. The record is from RNAcentral.